This 6479-nucleotide long non-coding RNA is filed under the name Equus asinus (donkey). RNAcentral's name for it is "lncRNA (ENSEASG00005035551.1)". The record is from RNAcentral. Lineage: Eukaryota; Metazoa; Chordata; Mammalia; Perissodactyla; Equidae.
AUCACCUCUCUUAUAGUCUGAGAGCCAGCCUAAAAGAUCUUCCACUUCUGUGAGUCACAAAUUAUUUCCCAGCCCAGCCAUGUGUUCCCACUCUCAAACCAAUUUUUCAGCAAUCAGGUGCGGGUGGCACGGGUCAGCCUCUUGGUUCCAUUGGUCAGCCCUGCCCAGCCCAGAGCUGUGGCCAGGCUGAUUUGCUCGGAGUGCAGAGAUCUGCCUCAGAUGGCAUCUUGUAGAAGAGGAUUGGACAGACAAGAGAAGACUCCAGUGUGGGAUUGGAAAGAAAUCUUUUCCACCUCUGGAGAAGUUUUCCAGCGGGAAGAAUAGUGCCAUCAUUUUCCUCUGUACUGAAUACCAGAUUUGGCUAAGCACUGUGCAAAACCAGCCCCCCAGGGCUGCCAGGCUGGUGCAAAAACAGAUCUUUCUCAACUUUGGGAUAACUCAUUCACAUUCCUGGUUUUCACAAUCAUUGCAAAACAGACCUCAGGAUUCUAGCAGCCAAGAUGCCGGGUAUAAUGAGCCUGGUCAGAGCUGCCUGGAAUUGCUAAUGACUGCGGGUUUUUGUUUUUAAACCUAUGCCCUGGUUAGGGAAGGGAAACUCGUUGUGCAGGGUGCAGCAACCCAAGCACAAAACGUGAUAAGAGGAAGAGUUAUGACUGCAGCCACCGCAGCGCGACUCCACUUUGGGGCUCUGCCAGAGUUCCCAUAAAACCCGCCUUUUUCUGGAGUCUACACCAUGUGCUCUUAUGUCAUCAAUUUAAGAGGCUUUUAUGAGAUGCCAGAGCAUGUUACUUAAAGCAUUCUCAUUUAUUUUGCCCUUAUGCUUUUAUUACAUAGAAUUUGAAUUAAAUCCAUUUGGCAAUGUUUUGCAGUGGAGGGAGGCAGGGGUCUGUCAGGAGGAGGAAAGGAAUUUGUUAGUGAGGGGAAAGCUCCUUUAGACCCCAGGGAGGGAACAGAAGUAAAGGUGCCCCGGGGUGGGAAGCGCGCCCUCCCCACAACGCGGUGAGAUGUGGAAAGUUCCUCACGCUUCACUAGGGCUUCCCUCCCUCCUGCAAUCUGUGGUAGCUUUUCUAAAGGCUACUUCUGCCCUCCAUUGUUCUGUUCAAAACCCUCCAGCAACAUCACAUUGCUCUCAGAAUAAAACUCAGAUUCCACAUUUGAUAUUUUUCAUCACCUAAGAUCUGGCCUCAGUCUGCAUCUACACUUUAGAUUCUUUCCUUUUCUUCUCACUCUCCAGCUAAACACCAACUGCUACCUGUCGGUCAAGGGGGCAAGGGCCAGACAAAAUAGCACCUUGGCCUCAACAUUUCACAUUAUCCUUCCAGAAGGAAGUGGUUGGUUUCUUCUCUGAAUGCCUAUGACGUUUUAUUGGUACAUCUUGAUGACAAUGAUCACUUUUUAUCUUGAUUUCUACAGUGCAUGCUUUUUUUCAAAAUUUUAAGUCUAGAACAACAGCUUCAUGAAUGUUCUAUCUUUGGAUCACUCUCAGCACGUAGCACAAUGAGUUGAACGUCAACCCCAUCCAAUGAAUACCUGUUGAAUGGUUAUGUAUAUGCUGACCCCAGGAGGAAAUUUCCGAAUUAAGAAGCAUUUGUCACUUACCUAUGAGUAGGUCUUAAGUGUUUCUUUUAGAGGCUCCUCCCAGAAUCAUAUACCUCCCCCACCACCUAAGAAAGCAGGCCUGGUAAUCACACAAAUCAGCCCCGUGGUUCCAUCGGUCAGCCCCACUCCAAGCUAGAGCCACGGCCAGGCUGAUUCGCUCUGAUGUCAGAGAUCUGCAAUCAGACGGCAUCUUGUAGAAGAUUACUAAAUACCAGGAUUGGGUUCAGCUGGUCACAAUAAAGAGGCUCCUACUCAGCCAACACUAUUAAAACAGAGUCCAUCCUGAGAUCUUCAUGGAGCUAUAAUCAGGCCAAGCCCCUCGGGGACACCCCUGGAUCUGGGGACCUUCAUUCUGGCCCUUCACCUUGGUCAGACAUGGCCACACACCUCUCAUCUGCUUCUUUAUGUUGGGCCAUGGGCAGGCCCUUCCAUCCAGGCAAGUUCUCCCCAUGUCCAACUCGACUGCAGGACCAUUCAGCUGGGGAUCUUGCAACUAGCAGAUGGGGAAACUGAGGCACAGCAAAAUUAAUCAAUUUGCCCAACAUCAAAAUUGGGUAAGCAGAAGAGACAACAUCCCAACCUGAGUCCUGAACCAGUAGAACCCCAUCUCAGCACACUGAGUUGCAACGAAAAGAACAGGGAUAGAUGGGAGCGUAUCCUAUGGGACCUGCAUUUAAUCAAUGGGCCCCCUGUCUUUUUGUUUUGUUUCUUUUUCCCAUCAAGCAGACCCGGCGCCUCCUGCUCCUGACGCUGGCCCACCCUCCCUCCCAGGCAGGCACCCCUCCUGCAUGACAGGGGGUUCCGGUUCUUACCCUCCAUCAUCCCUCCCCCACACAGAAAAAAAUGACAGGGAAAGAAAAAUAUGUUUUGUGGCCUUGAAGAUUUCGUUUUAGGAGCCAAUCCUACUUCGGCACCAAGUCAGCAGAAAUUUCUGAUGAUGAUGGGGUGCUUACUUUGUCAGUUAAUUUUUAAUUUAACAUUUUUUAUUUACUUUUUUGGGGAAAAUUCUAGUCUCCUUCACCAUCCUGUCGAUAGAUGUCUUGAGAUCUCUUUCAUGUCCCUCUUAUUAUUUUCCCUUUUAUGCUUUUUAAAAAACAUUUUUUCACCUUGUCAUUCCCUGGGGCUUGUGUUGUCCUACAGCCUCAAUGAUCACUGCUGCCCAACUACAGUUUCCACCUGAGCUCCAGCCCUCAGCCGACACCUGCCGUGGGGUUUCUCGUCUCCUCACAGCCGGGUGGGCAGGCAGCACCUCCUUUCCCUUCUCUUUUUCCAGCUCUGCUGAUGGAGGAAGACCAAAGUGGGGAGCCAGAACCUUGGAAGUCGGGUCACAGUCCUGUGUGCAGAGCCGCAGCUUGGCUGAGAGGCGUUCAAUGUUUGUGUCUUUUAGACAGCUGAGAGUUUUUUAAACAAAAAUUUGAACAGUAAUUUCCAUCCCUGAUAAAGAAUUAAAUUGUAUCAAAUGCGCAUUGUUUGCAUUCUUCUGAUAAAAAGAUCCAUAGGGGUUUUGCCCUGUGCUUUUGAAGUUGAGGCUAAUUCCAUUUCAUACGUAAUCUCCUCAAAGAGAGGAAGCCUCAGCCAAUGAAAUUGGGGGACUUCCCCUGCCUCCACUCCUGCCUGGAAAGCACGUGGACUCAGCAGCCCAUGGCAGUGAGUGUGCUUUGCACUUUUCCUGUAGUGAGGGAGGAGAAGCAGAGGCCUCCCACCCCAGACCUUUGACUAAUUCGUUAUCCAACAGAUGGGGAACACCCGCUCUGUGCCAGGCGGUAUGCUGGGCACAGGGGCUAGAAAAGAGAUGCUAUUAUGGUUCUAGGAAAGAAAAAUCAUACUCCUGUUCCAUCCACUGAGUUCAAAACCAAUAGAGAGAUACAUUCAAGAGUCUGACAGAUGGAGAUUAAAAUAUCAGCCUUGUUAUUGGUAAAAGCUGGAUUGGAGACAGGGCUUACAUACGCAGCCUCCUAUUGUUUCCCACACUCACCCAACCCAUUACUGCAGAGCUGAACGACCGCAGCCUCCCCCACAGGGCAAAGCAUGCCCAGGAAGCUCACUGCCAGGCUGAGAGCUGAUAACCCAGCUCCUCCACAGGAGUGACACCUGAAAAAGAAAGGAAGGACGGAGACCAACGUACCAGCACCAGGCUCUCUCCAAGCUCACCAAUUCAACUCACCAUUUACUCCUCUGCAAGGAAGGAAUGAGUGAGGAUGAAAGGAGGGCCAGGAAUGUCGUUCUGGCUGAAGCCCUUCCACCUGGAAGCAUGACGCCAGGAAACUGGAGAUGCCCCCCACAAAUGUGCUCCUCCCCUCGUAGAGAAGAUGGCCCAGUGGGGAGACUGGAAAAGAAUUAUCAAAUGAUACGAUAAUUGCUUUACAGAGCGGGUGGUCCCUGGGCCAAGGCCAGAAGGAUGAGCAGCCCUUGCCAGCUGGACAAGUUGCAGAAGGACCAGAAUGUGCCAAGGCUCAGAGCCUGAUAUAAAGAGGGUGGGUACAAGACAAGGGUGGAUGUGCAGGAAGUGACAAAGGUAGACUUUGUCCUCUGGCUCUCGAAGGAGCAGCUCCCUCUACCACCAUCUGUUUACUGUCAAGGAAUAAGGGAUUGAGCACAGGACUCAGCAGGCAGAGGCUCCCAGGGCAAAGACUGGCUUCCUUGGCGCCUGGUUCACAUGGGCGCUCAGCACAUAUUCGUUCUUUGAACACACACCCAUCCCUCUGGCUGCUGUCCACCCCGCGUGGAGCAGGCCACUUUUCCUUCGUGCCUGUUUCUUUUAACUGCAGUCACCUUCUCACUUCCCUGAGCCUCUGUUGUGAACAUUCCCGGAGUGAUGUUUGCACAAGCCUGAUGUUCUCAGAAGCAUGGCUCUCUGUAAAUACAGAGUUUUAUUAUUAGAAGACGAUGAAUUUUUAAAAUGUCAAUUCUGGCCUUUUCAUCAUGACGGAGUGGAACUCAGGUCUGCCUACACUUUGCUCCUUCAUCAGAAACCUUGCGGGUCUCAGCUCGGUGCUGAGGACAUGACUUUGGGCAGCGGUCAAGGUCACAGCCACUCAGAGGAGCCAGGGAGAUCCUGUGAAUGAUGGAGACUGCCCAGCCCAAGCAUGGCCACCCAACUCUUGGGAAUGUUCAGGAAUUCGGGUCCAGCGUGGCUUGUCAAGAGAAGGCAGAAAUCUGUAUUUUAUGUAAAAUCUCCUGAAUUUUAAACAUUUGCCUCAAAAUCCAAAAUUAAAAAAGAAUGGUAUGAAGGCCUAACAUGACACAGCUGUGGGUUGAAUGUGCUCCCCUCCCGCCGCCCAGUGCCAGCUGGCUUCUAAUCGGUGGCAGCUCUGCCCUGGUGACAGGUUUCCAUAGCUGGCCCCUAUUGCUGAAAGGUGGGCUCAGGUCUCGAGGAAGUGACCUGGGUCACCCAGGGGAGGGCAAUGUCUGUGCCGUGCAUAAUAUUUUAAACUAUGGUUCUUAACAUUUUCAGCUUUACACUAAUUUUUCCUUUAAUGUUUCCAGUCGGAGGGCUUGCCCUGGUUGAGGUUGAUGUCCUCUGCACUGAUUCUCACCCAGAUGGGGAGGCUGUGGGAUGAGGCACACAGAGCAGAGCCUGUGCUGUCACACAGGUCUUGGUUCAAAUCCUGGUUCUACCCUUUAUAGGCUGUGUGAUUUGGGAAAGUUGCUUAACCUUUCUGGACCUCUUCUGCAAAAGAGGGACGGUCAUAAUCCCUAUUUCAAAGGACACCUGCGAGAGAGACUGCAGGGAAAGCAUCGAGGACCCUCUCUGGCAGAGUGAAACCCCAGAUACAGGGUUCCCUUCCCUCAUUGCCUCCACUCCCAACGUAGAGUCCCAGGGGAUGUGGAAAGCCAGGUGGGCACUUCCGGGGAGAGAAAAAUAAGGAGACCAGAAUCAGCUAGCAUUUUGGAUGCAUCCUUAAUUCUCAGCAAGUUGUUGAUCUAACUGGGAAACAACUUGCCACGUGCUUAACUGGCCUCCUUUAGUAAUGGGAUCAAAUAUGCUUUCAGGACGAAGUCUGGGGCAUGGAGUCCUCUUCAGCUCUCGGCGGUUGCCCUCGGGCCCUGCAUGGGUAUAGAGUGAUUCAUUCUCUCGGGUGGAGAUCAUCUCCCUGCCUCCUCCUGGGCUGGCACCAGAGAUGGUGGUGUGACUCCCUCCCAUGGUUUAUCAUUCCAUCUCAUUUCUCAGUUAUCUGUGGAUGGGUCUCUCCCCCAUGAGAUUGGAAGCCAGUGGCGGGGAGGGUUGGACGGCGGGCAGAGUCUCUGUCACAUUCAUCCUCGCGUCUCCUUCUUCCUCCAUCAACCUGGUGGCUGCCAAGUAGUACUAAAAAAAAACCCAAACAAAACAAAACAAAACAAACUCUGCUAAUUAAGGACUAGGCCAAGAAGCAUUCCGAUUGCAGUGCCUACAUUCUCUGCUAAUCCCAUUGUAGCUUUGGUCUAUUGAUAGUUUUCAUAUCCUUUUCCACUUUACAGCUUUCAAUGGUAUCAACUAACGCUCCACCACAGAAUUGUCAUCUGUCUCCCUCAUUACGUUAGAGAGUCUUUGGGUGACCGUACGACUUUGAACAUGAAACUUAGGAAGUGAGGGACUGUGAGGAAUAGGAAGUGGGUCUUUAAAAACAAUUUUUUUAUUAAGGCGAAAUUCACAUAACAUAAAAUUAACCAUUUUAAGUGUAUGAUUCAGUGGUAUUUAAUACGUUGACAUUGUUGCACAAUCACUACCUGUAUCUAGUUCCAAAACAUUUUUAUGAAAAUCCUGUACCCAUGAUGCAGUCACUCCCUAUAUAACCAUCCACUCCAGCCCUUGGCAACCACUGAUCUGUGCUUUCUGUCUAUAGAUUUACCCAUUCUGGAUAUUUCAUAUAAAUGGAAUCAUAAUAUGUGGACUUUUGUGU